This 1027-nucleotide ribosomal RNA is filed under the name Hirsutella thompsonii. Its description in RNAcentral is "SSU rRNA". It matches the Rfam family "Eukaryotic small subunit ribosomal RNA", at positions 72 to 1110 of the family's 1831-position model. The record is from RNAcentral. Lineage: Eukaryota; Fungi; Ascomycota; Sordariomycetes; Hypocreales; Ophiocordycipitaceae.
AAUUAUACAGCGAAACUGCGAAUGGCUCAUUAUAUAAGUUAUCGUUUAUUUGAUAGUACCUUACUACUUGGAUAACCGUGGUAAUUCUAGAGCUAAUACAUGCUGAAAAUCCCGACUUCGGAAGGGAUGUAUUUAUUAGAUUCAAAACCAAUGCCCUCUGGGCUCACUGGUGAUUCAUGAUAACUCUUCGAAUCGCAUGGCCUUGCGCCGGCGAUGGUUCAUUCAAAUUUCUUCCCUAUCAACUUUCGAUGUUUGGGUAGUGGCCAAACAUGGUUGCAACGGGUAACGGAGGGUUAGGGCUCGACCCCGGAGAAGGAGCCUGAGAAACGGCUACUACAUCCAAGGAAGGCAGCAGGCGCGCAAAUUACCCAAUCCCGACACGGGGAGGUAGUGACAAUAAAUACUGAUACAGGGCUCUUUUGGGUCUUGUAAUUGGAAUGAGUACAAUUUAAAUCCCUUAACGAGGAACAAUUGGAGGGCAAGUCUGGUGCCAGCAGCCGCGGUAAUUCCAGCUCCAAUAGCGUAUAUUAAAGUUGUUGUGGUUAAAAAGCUCGUAGUUGAACCUUGGGCCUGGCUGGCCGGUCCGCCUCACCGCGUGUACUGGUCCGGCCGGGCCUUUCCCUCUGUGGAACCCCAUGCCCUUCACUGGGUGUGGCGGGGAAACAGGACUUUUACUUUGAAAAAAUUAGAGUGCUCCAGGCAGGCCUAUGCUCGAAUACAUUAGCAUGGAAUAAUGAAAUAGGACGCGCGGUUCUAUUUUGUUGGUUUCUAGGACCGCCGUAAUGAUUAAUAGGGACAGUCGGGGGCAUCAGUAUUCAAUUGUCAGAGGUGAAAUUCUUGGAUUUAUUGAAGACUAACUACUGCGAAAGCAUUUGCCAAGGAUGUUUUCAUUAAUCAGGAACGAAAGUUAGGGGAUCGAAGACGAUCAGAUACCGUCGUAGUCUUAACCAUAAACUAUGCCGACUAGGGAUCGGACGAUGUUAUUUUUUGACUCGUUCGGCACCUUACGAGAAAUCAAAGUGCUUGG